This is a long non-coding RNA of Homo sapiens (human), 532 nucleotides long. NCBI's taxonomy places the organism in Eukaryota, Metazoa, Chordata, Mammalia, Primates, Hominidae. The record is from Ensembl.
UCUUCCGUGACCCACGACUUCUAAUAGAGCUAUAACACUCACCGCACGGCCCAAGAUUCCAUUCCUUGGAAUCCGUGAGGCCAAGAACCCCAGGUCAGAGAACACGAGGCUUGCCACCAUCUUGGAAGUGGCCUGCCGCCAUUUUGGAAGUGGCCCACCACCAUCUUGGGAGCUCUGGGAGCAAGGACCCCUGCCUCCUGGGCUCAAGCAAUUCUCCCACCUCAGCCUCCUGAGUAGUUGAGACUAUAGGCAUCUGGAUAUUAAGACUGUCUCCAGCCCUUUGAGGUUGAGAGAGGAAGCAAGCACGGAGGAAUGGAUUUGACAACCCACAUGUCCGUGACUCAAAGCAAGCAAGGCCUUGCACAACCAACUCGCCACCCACACAAUCUGCACAGUCUCAGUGAGAAAGCAGGAGCAGGGAGCUCUCCGCUGAGAGUGAAGAAAUGUCCUCAACUCGACUUCUCUGCAGUGUGCAUGUGUGUGAAACACAGACACACACGGGAGGAAUUUGGCUCUGUCAUUUUAGUGUACC